Molecule: small RNA, 28 nt
Filed under: Bombyx mori (domestic silkworm)
Lineage: Eukaryota; Metazoa; Arthropoda; Insecta; Lepidoptera; Bombycidae
Description: ovarian small RNA-24214
Source: RNAcentral
UAUUGAUAUGCCGACCACUCUACUCCAG